Molecule: ribosomal RNA, 400 nt
Filed under: phytoplankton environmental sample
Lineage: Eukaryota
Description: partial small subunit ribosomal RNA
Rfam family: Eukaryotic small subunit ribosomal RNA
Source: RNAcentral
AGCUCCAAUAGUGUAUGCUAAUGUUGUUGCGGUUAAAAAGCUCGUAGUUGAAUCUUGGCAGGCAGGGCUCGGUUCGAUCUUGUCGCUACUGAGCUUCUUUGCCUGUGAUUGUGUCGGAGGUCUCAUGGUGCUCUUAACCGAGUGUCAUGAUGCGCCGGCAGGUUUACUUUGAAAAAAUUAGAGUGCUCAAAGCAGGCUUCACAAGCUUGAAUAUUCGUGCAUGGAAUAAUGGAAUAGGACGUCGUUUCUAUUUUGUUGGUUUUCGGAAAUCGACGUAAUGAUAAAUAGGGACAGUCGGGGGCAUUAGUAUUCAGACGACAGAGGUGAAAUUCUUGGACCGUCUGAAGACUAACUACUGCGAAAGCAUUUGCCAAGAAUGUUUUCAUUAAUCAAGAACGAA